Molecule: ribosomal RNA, 237 nt
Filed under: uncultured bacterium
Lineage: Bacteria
Description: partial 16S ribosomal RNA
Rfam family: Bacterial small subunit ribosomal RNA
Source: RNAcentral
CGGGACGGGGUGGAGUAAUGUCUGGGAAACGUGCCUGAUGGAGGGGGGUAACUACUGGAAACGGGGGCUAAUACCGCAUAACGUCGCAAGACCAAAGAGGGGGACCUUCGGGGCCUCUUGCCAUCGGAUGUGCCCAGAUGGGAUUAGCUAGUAGGUGGGGUAACGGCUCACCUAGGCGACGAUCCCUAGCUGGUCUGAGAGGAUGACCAGCCACACUGGAACUGAGGCACGGUCCAG